UACGGGGGGGGCAAGCGUUGUUCGGAAUUACUGGGCGUAAAGGGCUCGUAGGCGGCCAACUAAGUCGGACGUGAAAUCCCCAGGCUCAACUUGGGAACUGCGUCCGAUACUGGAUGGCUUGAAUUCGGGAGAGGGAUGCAGAAUUCCAGGUGUAGCGGUGAAAUUCGUAGAUAUUCGGAAGAACACCAGUGGCGAAGGCGGCUCACUGGCCCGGUACUGACGCUGAGGUGCGAAAGCGUGGGGAGCAAACAGG
RNAcentral lists this ribosomal RNA (253 nucleotides) under uncultured bacterium. RNAcentral's name for it is "partial 16S ribosomal RNA". It matches the Rfam family "Bacterial small subunit ribosomal RNA", at positions 524 to 776 of the family's 1533-position model. The record is from RNAcentral.